RNAcentral lists this ribosomal RNA (809 nucleotides) under Robillarda terrae. Its description in RNAcentral is "LSU rRNA". It matches the Rfam family "Eukaryotic large subunit ribosomal RNA", at positions 89 to 925 of the family's 3401-position model. The record is from RNAcentral. Lineage: Eukaryota; Fungi; Ascomycota; Sordariomycetes; Amphisphaeriales; Sporocadaceae.
GCGAGUGAAGCGGCAACAGCUCAAAUUUGAAAUCUGGCCUUCUGGUCCGAAUUGUAAUUUGUAGAGGAUGAUUUUGGUGCGGUACCUUCCGAGUUCCUUGGAACAGGACGCCUUAGAGGGUGAGAGCCCCGUACGGUUGGAUGCCUAGCCUUUGUAAAUCUCCUUCGACGAGUCGAGUAGUUUGGGAAUGCUGCUCUAAAUGGGAGGUAAAUUUCUUCUAAAGCUAAAUAUUGGCCAGAGACCGAUAGCGCACAAGUAGAGUGAUCGAAAGAUGAAAAGCACUUUGAAAAGAGGGUUAAAUAGCACGUGAAAUUGUUGAAAGGGAAGGAUUUAUGACCAGACUUUUUCUAGGCGGAUCAUCCGGUGUUCUCACCGGUGCACUUUGUCUAGUUUAGGCCAGCAUCGAUUUUCGGCAGCGGAUAAAAGCUUCAGGAAUGUGGCUCCUCCGGGAGUGUUAUAGCCUGUUGUAUAAUACGCCGCUGGGGAUCGAGGUACGCGCUUCUGCAAGGAUGCUGGCGUAAUGGUUAUCAAUCACCCGUCUUGAAACACGGACCAAGGAGUCGAACAUUUAUGCGAGUGUUUGGGUGUUAAACCCUCACGCGUAAUGAAAGUGAACGGAGGUGAGAGCCCUUACGGGUGCAUCAUCGACCGAUCCUGAUGUUUUCGGAUGGAUUUGAGUAAGAGCAUAACUGUUCGGACCCGAAAGAUGGUGAACUAUGCGUGGAUAGGGUGAAGCCAGAGGAAACUCUGGUGGAGGCUCGCAGCGGUUCUGACGUGCAAAUCGAUCGUCAAAUCUGCGCAUGGGGGCG